GUACCCUUACAGGCCAGCUCUUUUUUGGCUGGCUAGGUGACAAGAUGGGACGAAAACGUGUGUAUGGCAUGACCCUUAUUCUCAUGGUUAUCUGUUCGGUUGCCUCUGGGCUUUCCUUAGGCCAUGACCCAAAAGCUGUUAUGGCUACCCUUUGCUUCUUUCGCUUCUGGCUUGGUUUUGGUAUUGGUGGUGACUAUCCUCUUUCUGCUACCAUCAUGUCCGAAUACGCUAACAAAAAAACUCGUGGUGCUUUUAUUGCUGCUGUUUUUGCCAUGCAAGGUUUUGGGAUUUUGGCUGGAGGGAUGGUUGCUAUUAUAGUUUCUGCAGCUUUUAAGGCUAAAUACCCUGCUCCAACUUAUGAGAUGGAUGCAAAUGGGUCAACCGUGCCAGAAGCUGAUUACGUUUGGAGGAUCAUUUUGAUGUUUGGGGCGCUCCCAGCUUUACUUACUUAUUACUGGCGCAUGAAGAUGCCUGAAACUGCUCGUUACACUGCCUUAGUCGCCAAGAAUGCAAAACAGGCUGCAGCAGAUAUGUCAAAAGUUCUUCAGGUUGACUUGGAAGCAGAACAGGAGAAGCUAGAACCAAAAAAAGGGAGUGAUUUUGGUUUGUUCACCAGAGAAUUUCUUCUUCGACAUGGGCUUCACUUGCUUGGUACCACAAGUACUUGGUUUUUGUUGGACAUUGCCUUCUACAGUCAGAACCUGUUUCAAAAGGACAUCUUUAGUGCCAUUGGUUGGAUUCCAAAGGCAAAAACCAUGAACGCUCUUGAAGAAGUUCAUAAAAUUGCAAGAGCGCAAACUCUCAUUGCGCUAUGCAGCACUGUUCCUGGAUAUUGGUUCACUGUGGCAUUGAUUGAUAAGAUGGGGAGAUUCAAAAUUCAAUUGAUGGGCUUCUUCUUCAUGACUGUGUUCAUGUUUGCCUUGGCAAUUCCAUACCAUCACUGGACUCUACCAGACAACAGAAUUGGGUUCGUUAUUAUGUACUCCUUAACCUUCUUCUUUGCAAAUUUCGGUCCAAAUGCCACUACAUUUGUAGUCCCCGCUGAAAUUUUCCCUGCAAGGUUAAGAUCAACAUGCCAUGGAAUAUCAGCUGCAUCAGGUAAGGCAGGGGCAAUGGUGGGUGCAUUUGGCUUUUUGUAUGCUGCAGACAGUAUUGGAGUGAAGAAAUCACUUAUAAUUCUGGGCUUCAUUAACUUGCUGGGGAUGUUGUUCACAUUUUUGGUACCCGAAUCAAAAGGGAAGUCACUGGAAGAAAUAUCUGGGGAAGCUGAGCAAGAAAAUGGGACAGAAACACAACCUGGGCAGCAGGAUAGUAAUGGUGUCCAAAGUGUACCAGUUUAAUUAAGCUUUGUAAUGUUUUAUUAAUUACUAUGAAUCUUCGAAGUCACAUUAGGGAGUGUAUUUAUGUGUCUUAUAUAUUGGAGCUUUGGAUGCUGUUUGCACUUCCUGCAUAAUAAUAUAAGAUUCUUAUAUACACUAUUGAAUGUAAACAUCUCUGGAAUACCAUUUUUAAUAUCUUUAAAGUUGUUGAUUGGAGAUUUCGUUAAUAGUUUAGUUUAGCGUUUGAAGAAGAAAAAUUGUGUGAUCCAACCCUAUUUGAUGAACACAAUCUUGAAGAAGAAGCCCAUCAAUUGAAAUCGAAAUAUGUUUGUACUCUAGAGCCUAUCCAAAAAAGGAAUUUGGAUUUUAAAAUCCAAAUCAGUGGUCUCAAAUCCACAACAAUGCAUUCUCUUGUUCUAACUUGUUUUAGUGCAGUCAAAUGAGUUCGUACAUUUAUGUCAUAAUGUCUGUUUAUAUGUAAACAACUACGUUUAUAGUAUCAAACUUAGUUAACCUUACUGUUUUUAUAUUUUAAUAGUUUAACUUACAUCAAUGUUCUCUUACAUAUGUCUCCUAGAGUCUGUCCAUUGUUGUUCGGAAGGCUACUAGUUUUUGGCCUCUGUGGCCCGGUGCCUACACCUUGAUCGCUAUGGGAGCGAGCUUCUUCCGAAGGCAACCAAGAGAGCAAAUGGAAAAGAUGUCAACCCUGGCAUUGGAAGCAUUUGCUAGCUCUUGAUUUGCCAUAGGAACAGAGAUUAGCCAGCUAGUUAUUGUCAUGUUAGAACCGAAGAUAAACAUGACAAAAAAACAGAAAGAAGCCUGCCUGCUAGAAUAAACACUACCUCCCAUGUCAUAUUACUGUUGAAGAGACUAUUUCAAUGCAACUUGUUAGGAACCUUUCAUUCACAAUUAAAACCAGUCUUAUAUUACCUAACAUCAACAAGAAAACAAGUAAGUUUUUCAAUGGAGUAGGGUGCUGCAGUGAAAACAUCUUUUGAGAUUAAAGCAUGGAACGCGUUCCAUAUGACCAACAACACCAUGGGCUCUAAGCCUCAGCGAAUGGGCUUGAAGCAACAAGCAGGAAUGGUCUAGAUGAAAAAUCUUUAUGCAUUGAUUUUUAUUUAUAUUUUUUUUCUUACCAUUUCAAAAUUGAAGAGAGAAAUAAGGGAUGAGUCACACCCACCACAUCGAAGACUUUUCGUCACUUGAAAAAUAAAUUAUGCAAGUACGGAAGCAGAGGAGAUAUUUUUAUCUUUGAUUUGUUAAUCUUAAUAUUUCUUAUGGUAUUUCAAAAAAUAAAUAAAUAAAUAAAUAUAGAUACAGUCGUGGGUACAAUCCACCCACAUGCUCCAAAUGGUUUUGUUCGUUAGGAGAUUUCGUAGAUUUCUCUGAUAUUACACUGUUUUUUUUUUUAUCUUUUUUCGAAACUAUUUUUAUUUUCCUUAUGUAGUUUUCUUUGGAUUAAACGUGUUUUUUUUUCCUCCUUUGAUAUUUUAGCGGAUGAAUGAUUGGUGGAUUCAGUUUUCCUCCCUUGAGGAAGUAAUUGAUGUAUACUUCUCCUAUUUUCUUAGCUGAAGGAAAUAGAAAGAAGGAAAAAGAAGAGAAAGUAAUUGAUGUCCACUUCUCUGCUUUUCCUUUUCACAUUCUUCUCAUUUCUUAUAUUAUAAUAAAAUUAUAAUUUUUAUUUUAAACUUUAAAUUAUAAAUAUAUAUUUAUUAUCAUUAAGAGUAUGGGAGCAUUUAAUCUGUCUUUUUCCUUGUUAAAAAUCAUCAUCACAAAAAAUUGUUUUUUAAAAUAUUUAACAUCAGCAUAAUAAUAAUAAUCAUAUCUUUAAUUUGUUUUUCUUAUAGAAUAUUCAUCACAAACCUCGUAGCUUCUCUACAAUGCUUCAGCCAUGGUUUCCCCUUUUCUUCCAAUUGGUCUUUAUUUUCUUUUUUAAUAUUAGCAAGGCGUAUGAGCAGAGGGUUAUAUGAUAAUAAAAAGUGGAAAAAGCUUAUAUGAUAAUAAAACUACCAACUCUGCUUUUUUUUUAACCCAAAACAAUAUUUAAAAAAAGAUUCUCAGCCUUUAAUUAAUUGCUCCCUCUUUUUGCACAUCCAACCCCUUUUCCAACUUAUUAUAACGCUUUGUUAAGGAUUUUAUUUUUUUGAAUUUAGGUCGUGACUUUCAUCAUACUAUUUUUUAAAAAAACAAAAACAAGAAAAAACACGCCAUAACUUUUGACUUUGCUGCCAGGGGUGAUGGGACCAAAACAGUAGUCAUACUACUUCCAAAAUGAAUAAACUAUUCCUUUGUCGGAAUGGGUUUCCGUUCUCUGAUCAAUUUUGCUCUUGGGACCAGUUUGAGGUUGGUGUAACUUCACGUCACAAGUUGUUGUAUGUAUAUUGACUUUGAAGUCCUAUCAAUGUCACACUCCAAUCUUGAGGUACGACAAACGUCAUAUAUAUGUAAUAUAUAGUCUUAACAGAUAUAAAAAGCUUCAAUAUAUAUUUUAUUUAAUAUUAAUUAAAAAAAUUAAAAUAUUUAAAAGAUGUAAUAAUUCAUAAAACUAAAUUUAUCUGUAGAAAUUUAAAAGAUUAUAAUUCGAUAAUAUUUAAAAUUAAGUCUCUAAAACCAUAAAAUUAACGUGUCAAAAUAAAAGUUUGAAUAAUAAUUUAAGAUAAUUCGAUGUUCAUAAUAUUUAAAUAAAUCUUAAACAAUUUAAAUACUACUAAAUUAAACAUUACUCUCUGAAAUUCUCGUAUGGUUGAUCAAAUCACAACUUAAAAUAAUUUGAAGGAAUGAGUGAAUCUAACUACUUUGCAAAUAACUAACAUCCUUUCAGCCGGAUUAAGCAUACUUAAUACAUUUAGGCCAAAGUGUCAUUAAUAUAAAUAUCAAAAUAAAAUAUUAAGUAAUCUUAUUUAAAAUCAUAUACUUCAAAAUUUAUACUUUCAGAUAACAUAACAAACAUAUUUCAUAAAUAUUUUAAAUUUUAAUGGUCUUUUGUAAAAUGCUACGACUACACUUAACUCCUGUGGCAUAAGUUAAAAAUAAAUUCACAAUUAACUCCGAUGGCACGGGUCAGAAAUAUAUCAAAAGCAACCAUUAGCUACACUGAACAAAUAUCAUAAUAUCACUAUUCUAUAACUGGUGGUGCAAUUAAGAAAUCGAUUUUUAAUCAUAGACUACAUGUCUACAUGGCCAAUAUUUAACCCUCAUUGGCAAGGUCAGAGUAUAGCCAUACUAUGAGAUAAAACAGAAACAUAUUUUUUUAGAUUAUCCAAAUUUCAUAAAAUAGUAUAUUAACUUUCUCAAACAUAUCUCAUACACAUCAAAAGCAUAUUCGUUUCAGAUUAAAUAUAUAUAUUUAUAUUCACGAAACAUAUAUACAUACAUUAUACAAAGUCAUACAAAUUUCAAAAUCAGAAAUCAUGCUUUGCGUAAGCUAAAUUCUAAAUUCAACAUAUAAAACUCAUAUACAUAUACAUUUUGCAUGCUCAACCUGAUUUUAAUGAAUCAUAGAAUAAAAUAUCAAAUAUCAUGUACAAAUUCAUAUUGAGGCUAAUUUUUAGUGUGUUAAAACACUAAAAAGAUAUCAGUCACUUAUUUGAUUUUGUCAAUUUUACUUUCAAGCAACAAAUUAAAAAAUCCUCUUAGUAGCCUAAUAUAACAAGAAAAUACAUACAAAAUCAUAACUAAAUUUGCAAACAAAUGCUACAAGAUGACUAUCGUUGGCCAUCCUAAACACUUAGGGUGUGUAGCGAUUUUUAUUACAAUUUAAAAACAUUUUCGAUUAAUAAGAUAAUAUUUUAUUAUUAUAUAUAUUUUUUAAUUAAUAAAAUUUUAAAUAAAGUUGAGAAUUUAAACUUAAAUCAUACAAUCAGUAAGGAUUUUAAUUUCCGAUAGAAACAUAAUUUCAUUCAUAAAAAUCAUAUUUAUAAUUUUUCAUUAAUUUUUGAUAUUUUAAUAAAAUCUACUAAUUUAAUAAAUAAAUUUAUAAAAUAUAAAGAUAUAUUCUUUUAGAUAUAAAAAUACAGUAAAAAACACAUAUCCAAUCUACAACAGAAUUUAUUAAACAUUAAUUAAUAAUUAAAUUAAAAAAAAUUAUUUUCUGAAAUUUUUCAGAAUCUAGAUAGCCAUUUGGCCUAUUUUGAGCCAUUGUAACUCCUAACCCAAAUUGUUUCCAGUGGUAAAAUCAACACCAAUUUGAAGUAUUCAUAUCAUAUUGCAUCACCAAAAUUUGUUUCAAUUAAAAAGAAUACAAAAUUCCCAAGUUUUGAAAGCCAAAAUUUUAGAAAUCAUCACAAAAAUAUCUAAAUUUUUAAGUUUUCAGUAUCAAUAAACUAUUUUGAGGCUUUAAUUCUCUUAACACAAGAAGCCCCUAAUCGAGCCAUUAAUAUCAAAUUAAACACCUCAUUUCAUACUACAAAAGCCUUCAAAGAGACGACCUAAAAUGUUACUAGAAUAUGAAGUUUCGGUGACCCAAAUUUGGUUUAUCAAAACUAUUAAAAAUCAAGUCUCCAAUUAACUUCGAAAAUUCGUAUUUUCUUAACCACAAAGCCAAACGAGAUGUUACAAAAACCAUUGAAAAUAUCUUUUCAAUAUCUUUCCAUUGGUACCCACCAUGCCACUGGAAAGUCAUCAGAAGAAUAUCGAGUUUAAAUAAAAGUUAAGAAAAUACAAUUAACUUAGGACUUUUGUAUCCAAAUUAUGAAAAUUACAACCCUAAACAUACCUUAAUAAGCAAUCCCUUAAAUACAUUUUCCUUUUCUCUAUCUUUCUUCUUCCUUCUGACUGACUACUUAUCUUUUGAGAUAAAUUAGUAUGAGUUUUCUGCCUUUUCUUUUAAAACUUAUAAACUAACCCAACUAUAUUAUUUUUUUUAAACGUAAUUUAGUGAGUUACUAUCUGGUAAAAUAAACUGACAUUUACCCCACUAAUUUAAACGUGAUAAAUAAAACUGACAUUAAUUAAACUUUUUUAUUUACUUAAAGACCUUUUUUCUAUUUUUUUAAUUAUUAAGGCAUCCAGGAUUAUCACUGUAAAUAAAUAAAAUAUUAAAACAACAUUUACUUAUUUAUUUUUAUAAAACUAUAAUUUAAUAAAUUUAAAUAUUUUUAUAAUAUAUACUUUGUGAGGAGUAUUACAGUCAGCUAAUCCAUAGCAAAACGAAAUACAUUAAUGUUGAUAAUAAUAGCUGCUUGUUUGAAGCCUGAAGGAAAUUAUAAUGGUUGUUGUCAUGUUUAAUAAGCAUUAAUUAUAAAUUAAUGAGGAAUUUUUUUUAUCCCUAAAUUAAAUAUCCCUUCACAAGGAAAAACAUGUUUAUUAAAAUAUAUUGCAGUGUCGUGUACAAAAGAAAAGUAUAGACUAUAGUUUUAAUAAAAGUCAACUAUUUGGGUUGGAUUGGAGUGUUUGAUUUUGUAAAGAAGUUCCUGUAGCAGUUCAGAAUUACAGAACAUUUUCCCUAGCGUAGCAUAAAGGAAAAGAAUAGGAAUAAUUUUUGUAAUCUCUAUGAACAAAAGCACACAAUCCUGUGUACGGCAAAAGCUAGUUCGUUCCAGUUCUUGUUAGGCAAUCUUUCGGUUCUUCUUAAUUUCCAUCAUCGAGCCUGCAGGAAUCUACAUGCUUUCAAGCAUUCAAAGCCUCCAGUAAGUUAAUUUAGGUAUGGCAAUCUAAAAUGGGUUUUAUUUUAUCUAUGGCGUGAGGAGUAUGAGCAGCUCAGAGUUGACUGACGACUGGAUAGGCUAGAGUCUGAAGUUAUCCACUUUAACUUAUUCCCAAUUUUUAUGGUCACCAUGUCUUUGGUAAGAUGAUAUGACCAACUCACUGUCCCUUGCGUCCUUGUCUUCCAUGCUUAUAUCAGAGGAUGCGGUCCAUUGAUUUCACUUCCAAACCAAGUUGACGAAACAGUAGAAGGCUUUCACCACGAAUGCUAGGCCCCCAGAGCUGGAGCAAGAGACAAAAGGCAAAAUAUUGCUUGACAAUGAUUCAAGACAGUGAAACCAGAUAUAGCAGAGUUGGAAAAUUCAAUUGCCAGAUGAUGCAAACAAUUCUGAUUGUUUGUCAGCUUGACAUCUUCUUGUUGGUACAAAGUUGCUUUUAUGUAAUAUGAAAGUGAAGGCCAAAACUUGUUCAAAAAGCAGCGCCAAGCUCGCAUUCAUGGUUGACAAACUAUAAGAAGGUGAGAUCGAAAGGCAGAAAGAUUCUUAAGAUGACAAUACAAAACCAGCCAAAGGCUAACAAGCCAAAUUUUGGAUGUUGGUCCCAAAUAUUUGGUCUCCAUUAUUCUACAUCACCUUUAUACUUUUAGCCCUCCCCCUGAUCUAUACUCUCAGGUAAGAGUCCACUAAAAUUUUGGGCAAAAGAUAUUGUUCUUUCCGUUAUGCUUACUGUUCUAUUAGUGGAAUGGGAACUGCAACUAUGGAUGAUUAUCUCACUAGUUGCUUAAGCUACAACGCACCACGAUUAUAUAUGGCACAUGCAACAAAUCAGAUUUAGCUUUUGACAAAGUAGUAUUUGGAAUUAAAUACUCAUAUAUAUCACAAUUUUUCCUAAAAGAUGAAAUGAAUGUUGUCAUGAAUCGAAAUAAGAACAAAAAAAGAUAUACAAUAAGUUAAUACAGGAAUUAUGAGCAUCAAGAAUUGUCUAGUUUCACCAAUAUUAAUCCGGCAGGCUCAAGAGUGACAAGUGUAGUUUGUGAAAACUAAUCCAUUGUUCUACAAGUAAUUAAACAGUAGUACAAGCAAAAAGGCGUUUGAAUGGAGGAAUAUGUGUCAGUUGCUGUCAAUAUCUUUCUGAUAACGGCUAUAUUGGAGGAAACGAAGGUUUCGAUCUGGCUAGAAACCAAACUUUUCAGCUAAAAACGUCGAUCAAGCAGCCAAUUGUUGAACAGUUGUGCAAUUCUAAGUCCCAAUAAAGUGAAAGGAUGAUGAGACAGAUUGUAUGGCAUUAAUUUUAAAAUGGUAUCAUUCUUUUGUACUUCUACAGGGAGUGCGGACUAAAUGAUUUACGUGAAGAAUAAGUGCAAUAAAGGGUAGAGUUAAAUAAUCAAGGAUUCAAUCCAAACUCCACGGAGGGAAAAGGCUGCAACAAAAGUGGUGCCUCAGAAUAAUUCCUCUCUUUGAGGUUUAUAAUUAUAAAAAAUUAAAUAUGUAGUUUCCACCGUGGAAAUUACUAAUGCCAUCAAGCAUUGAUUAUUAAAUUGCUAUCCAGCAUGACCAGAUAUCCCCAAAGACACUAUUUGAUUGCCUUAUACGAAUUGGAUGUAACCAUAAUCCUUAAUUUAUCUUUUUUAUUCUUUCCCUUUUUCCUUGACAUUUAAUAUCAUCAAUAAUCAUAAAUUAUCUGAUUUUUUAUUAAAAAAGUGAAUUUUUUUUUUAUCAAAACUGGAGAAAGGUUAAAAAUCUAAAUGCAUAUGCAUCUAUUUAAGCUUUCCAGGUAUAAAAAAAAGUUACUAGAAAUAAGUGUAUUUAGAUUUCAAACGAAUGAUUUAAAUUCUGAAUAAAACAAUUGUAUUUGUGGGUGUAACCAAUUAAUCCUUUUCCAGCAAAAAUGGAAUCUUCUAUAUGAUUUUUCUUACCUUUCCAAAGUAGUAUACUAAUUCCUUUUGCAGAUAAAACUUUGGUGAAAAAUGUUUUUUAACUUUGAAACAUAGGUUUUUGAUGUAAAAUUAUAUUGACAUAACCAGAUUAUUAACUUGGUCCAAUAAAAAGAAAACCAUCUCGAGAUAGAGCAAAAUUAAUUAUUUUGUUCCUAAUAAAAAAUAAUUGCUUUGUUUUAUCAUGAUCCCAAUUUUAAUACAUAAGCUAGAUUUAGUUAUAUUUGCCGUAAAUUGAUAAUCUGAAAUCCAUGUGUCCUGGCCCUUCCCAUUUACAGAUAACAAUGCUAAAAAAUAAAAUAAAAAAAUCUAAUUAAGAUUAUUGAUAAUCAUAUCCCUNNNNNNNNNNNNNNNNNNNNNNNNNNNNNNNNNNNNNNNNNNNNNNNNNNNNNNNNNNNNNNNNNNNNNNNNNNNNNNNNNNNNNNNNNNNNNNNNNNNNNNNNNNNNNNNNNNNNNNNNNNNNNNNNNNNNNNNNNNNNNNNNNNNNNNNNNNNNNNNNNNNNNNNNNNNNAAUGCUAAAAAAUAAAAAAAAAAAUCUAAUUAAGAUUAUUGAUAAUCAUAUCCCUCAAAGACAAAUCUUAUUAAGCAAACCCAAAACCCAGAUCAGAUUUGAAAUCUCAAAUAUGGAAAUGAUAGUUAGGACUAACCAACUUCAGUCCCGGAAAGAUUAACCAAAGCUAGAAAAAUAUGGAACAAUUGUAGAGAAUAUGCCACUUUGGAAAACCAAGAUUCUCACGUAAUUAUUUAUUUUUAAAUGGGAAAAAGAAAAAAGAGAGCGUCCAUAGCAGUUAAAUACGGAACCAACUCCCCUCUCAUCCUUCCCUUCUAUCCAUCACUACCCAUCUCUUCUUCUUCUUCUCUCUCUUUUUUUCUUUCUUCCUUGCAUUAGCUUAUUAAACCAUUGGAAGCUCUUUAUCUAUAUAUAUAUAUAUAUAUUACGAGACGUCUUCUUGUUCUUGUCUAAAUUUACUCAGCUGUGUCUCUCUUUCUUUCAUUGGUUUGCACAUUUAACGUAAGCUUUCUCUUGCUCUUAAGUUAUGGAUUUGAUAUGUAGUAAUGAGUUCUGAUUGAGUCGUAGAUGAUAUUUGAUCACGGAGUUUGACUUCUUUAUGUAAGGCUGUGUGUUGCAUAGAGUUUCGAGAUACGCAAACGAAAUCCAGAGUCCAAAGACUUGAGACUUUUCCGUUUUCUUUUAGUUACUGCUCUUCUACUAGGAUUCUCUCUCUCUCUUUUUACCCUGCAGGUUUUAUUCUUUCUGGUGCUAAAUCUUUUUCAUUCUUCGUUAUGAUUCUCUCUCUAUUUGAGGUUUUCGCAAUGUCCACGUGAAGACAUUCAACUUUGUUUUCCAUUAGGGUAUUCCUGGUAGGGGCGGGGACAGUUCAACCUGGGUCUUUUAUUAGUAUAAGUUUUUUCUUAGAUUAUUUUUAAAAAUAAUAUUUAAAGAUAAGAUAUUUUUAAAAAUAGUUCUCUUUAUAAUUUAAUUAUUUUUAGUUAAGUUUGACAAAAUUAUCUUUAAUGAAAUUACACAUCAUAAUUAGGUUGUUAUAAGUUAUAUACAACCAUAGUUAAAUUGUUACACGUUAUAUAUAAAAAUAUAUUACACGUCAUGUAUAAAAAAUAUUAUUAUUACACAUCAAGUACAAAAACAUGUUACACGUUAUAUUAGAAAAAUGUUAAUGUUCCACAUUAUGUUGAAAAAAUAUUAUUGUUAUACGUCAUGUUGAAAAAAUAUUAUUAUUAAUGCCUAAAAUGUUGUUACUUAUAAACUAAAACUUCAAAUUCUUUCAACUCUAUUCAUUGUUUUUUGACAAUUUGGCACCGAUUAAAAUAUUUCUAACAUGUUUUCAUAAUUCAAAACACAAAUUUUCUUAUCUAAAAUAUCUAUUUCGAUUAAAAAUAAAAAAAAAUUUCUUAGAAAACUUAGGUUUAUAAUUUCAAAUUUUUGAGUAUAUUGGUCUCAAAUUGAUCCAAUUAAAAGUUAUUUCAAACAUCUGUGAUCAUUUCUACCAUUUUAGUUUUAUCCAAAAUACUUAAAAAUUAAAUUUUCCAAGCACAUCAAAAUUAUAAAGAGAAAUCUAAAAGUGUGGGAGAGAGAAAUUGAGAGCAUAGCAGACGAAUGUCGAAGAGAGAAAUCGAUAAAAUUAGAAAGAGCUUGAUGGUGAGAGAGAGAAAUCGAAAGCACAAAUAGAAAGAAAUUGUGUUAAAUGUUUUAAUUUAUUUGAAAUAGUUUCAAGAAUGUUUUUAUCAAGUUAUAACUAAAUAUGAUUAAAAAUAAUUAAAUUUAUUUAAAUAAUUAUUUUUAAAAUGCUUGAAGAUUAUUCUUCACAAUCUUUUUUUUUCUUGGUACAUCAAUUAUUAAGUUUGAGCCAGAUUGCAAAACAUUGAGUGCAAAUCUUUUCACUCUUUGAUGAUUGCUAGGAAGGAGAAGAAAGCACGAAAGAAUCUUUCUGUCAAUCCAAAAUUUUCAGUUCAGUUUUUCUUGUCAAAUAUCCUAAAUUGUAGUUACAUCCUUUAUUUAAUGGAAAUAUGUUAUUUCUAUUAAACUCUUUUGUAGUGUCUUAGUUACACUUUAUUGACCUAAGACUUUGUAUUAUAGUCUCGGUCAUUUUCUCAUCACAUUUAUUUCUUUUGUCAUCUUCUAUCAACCUUAGCGUCUUGAACCUCGAUACAUCCACACGAUUUUGGAAAAGCAUUGCCUUGCCUUUCUAUCUUUUUUUUGUUUCCUUGCACCUUCACACAGUUCACAUGGCUAAUAGUCCUGACUUCAGCUUUCAUCAGAUAUACAAUAAUUGGCACCACCACCAUUGAUCAUGUGAUUUAUUUUUAAUUUCUGUAAUUAUAUUAGUGCAUAAAUUGAUAUUUAAUUCUGUUUUCGCAAUGCUUUCAGUGGAAAACAAACAGAUAGCAUAGCAAAGACUUCUGAUCAGGAGGAAUCGUCAUGGCAAACGACAAACUGCAAGUUCUUAAUGCACUUGACGUAGCCAAAACACAAUGGUAUCAUUUCACAGCAAUUAUCAUUGCUGGCAUGGGAUUCUUCACUGAUGCAUAUGAUAUCUUUUGCAUUUCCUUGGUGACUAAAUUGCUUGGUCGCAUAUAUUACCACAAGGAAGGUGCUGCUAACCCUGGUGAUCUUCCUUCUAAUGUAACGGCUGCUGUUACUGGUGUAGCGUUCUGCGGUACCAUUGCAGGCCAGCUCUUUUUUGGUUAGCUCGGUGACAAGAUGGGACGAAAACGUGUGUAUGGCAUGACCCUUAUGCUCAUGGUUAUCUGUUCGGUUGCCUCUGGCCUUUCCUUAGGCCAUGCCCCUAAAGCUGUUAUGGCUACCCUUUGCUUCUUUCGCUUCUGGCUUGGUUUUGGUAUUGGUGGUGACUAUCCUCUUUCUGCUACCAUCAUGUCCGAAUACGCUAACAAAAAAACUCGUGGUGCUUUUAUUGCUGCUGUUUUUGCCAUGCAAGGUUUUGGGAUUUUGGCUGGAGGGAUGGUUGCUAUUAUAGUUUCUGCAGCUUUUAAGGC
This 12411-nucleotide long non-coding RNA is filed under the name Theobroma cacao (cacao). RNAcentral's name for it is "long non-coding RNA (TCAC_LNC002755)". The record is from RNAcentral. Lineage: Eukaryota; Viridiplantae; Streptophyta; Magnoliopsida; Malvales; Malvaceae.